Molecule: long non-coding RNA, 560 nt
Organism: Entelurus aequoreus (snake pipefish)
Lineage: Eukaryota; Metazoa; Chordata; Actinopteri; Syngnathiformes; Syngnathidae
Exons: 4
Source: RefSeq, a predicted model, not a curated record
CAGGGGGCGACAGCGAGGCGUGUGUGUCACCGUGCCGCAGCAGUGGGCAACUGGACAACAAAGUAUGAAUAUUCUACCGAGUGCUCGAGUCAUUGUUUCCUGUCGGACCUUUUAAGCGACGGACACAUUGAUCCAGACAAGCAGCAACAAUGGUAGACAUCCGGCGUGUCAACGUGGUCAAACAUUCAACAAGAGCAAGAAUUCUACUGAUUUUGACUCAUAUCUGACAAGAAGGAAGUGAACGCUAAGGAGCAAAGGUGGCGCCGGUAAGACCCACCUCAGACUUGCAUUGUGACGCGACCUUGACACCCUCUGAGGUGGAUGAAAGCGGGACAGCCCAGUUCUCAGAGACCAGGACUAACGGCGGAUCAGGACCAGGCAGUUCUCAGAGACCAGGACUAACGGCGGAUCAGGACCAGGCAGUUCUCAGAGACCAGGACUAACGGCGGAUCAGGACCGGGAUCAUUGGGGCUUGACCACGACCUUCAAAGCAGACUUUUAUGCCUGCAACUUUAUACUUUUAUACCUGCAACUUUAUACUUUUAUACCUGCAACUUGAC